Pelobates cultripes (western spadefoot toad) is the source of this 286-nucleotide non-coding RNA. The record is from the annotation of a GenBank genome assembly. Lineage: Eukaryota; Metazoa; Chordata; Amphibia; Anura; Pelobatidae.
UCCCUUAUGUCUCCCAAUCCAGUCCUCUGUAGUGCCGUCAUCAUAUCCUCCUACUUCCGCAUUCAUGCGUUCCAUCGCGAGUACUUCCGGGUUCGCUUGCGUUCCAUCUCUGAUGCCGAUGCGUUCCAACGCUCUUUUCAUGCGGUUCACUACAGAAAGUCACUCAAAUACUUCUUCACCUUCACCAAUACUUCAAAUAAUUGUCCAAAUGAGUCCCUAUAAUAUAUAAAACUCCAGAACACAAUCCCCACAUAAAAAUAGGGAGUGGGAGGGGUGAAAAAAAAAA